AUGCAGUCGAGGGGCAGCGGGGAGGUAGCAAUACCUUUGCCGGCGACCGGCGCACGGGUGAGUAACACGUAUGCAAUCCACCUGUAACAGGGGGAUAACCCGGAGAAAUCCGGACUAAUACCCCAUAAUAUGGGCUCUCCGCAUGGAGGGUUCAUUAAAGAGAGCAAUUUUGGUUACAGACGAGCAUGCGCUCCAUUAGCCAGUUGGCGGGGUAACGGCCCACCAAAGCGACGAUGGAUAGGGGUUCUGAGAGGAAGGUCCCCCACAUUGGAACUGAGACACGGUCCAAACUCCUACGGGAGGCAGCAGUGAGGAAUAUUGGUCAAUGGUCGGCAGACUGAACCAGCCAAGUCGCGUGAGGGAAGACGGCCCUACGGGUUGUAAACCUCUUUUGUCGGAGAGUAAAGUACGCUACGUGUAGCGUAUUGCAAGUAUCCGAAGAAAAAGCAUCGGCUAACUCCGUGCCAGCAGCCGCGGUAAUACGGAGGAUGCGAGCGUUAUCCGGAUUUAUUGGGUUUAAAGGGUGCGUAGGCGGCACGCCAAGUCAGCGGUGAAAUUUUCGGGCUCAACCCGGACUGUGCCGUUGAAACUGGCGAGCUAGAGUGCACAAGAGGCAGGCGGAAUGCGUGGUGUAGCGGUGAA
RNAcentral lists this ribosomal RNA (642 nucleotides) under uncultured bacterium. Its description in RNAcentral is "bacterial SSU rRNA". It matches the Rfam family "Bacterial small subunit ribosomal RNA", at positions 55 to 685 of the family's 1533-position model. The record is from RNAcentral.